GGAUUGUGGCUCAGUGGUAGAGGGCUCGCCUAGCACGGGCCGGACCUGGGUUCGAUCCUCAGCACCA
This 67-nucleotide transfer RNA is filed under the name Marmota monax (woodchuck). Its description in RNAcentral is "tRNA.Ala". The record is from RNAcentral. Lineage: Eukaryota; Metazoa; Chordata; Mammalia; Rodentia; Sciuridae.